AUUGAACGCUGGCGGCAUGCCUUACACAUGCAAGUCGAACGGCAGCACGGGUGCUUGCACCUGGUGGCGAGUGGCGAACGGGUGAGUAAUACAUCGGAACAUGUCCUGUAGUGGGGGAUAGCCCGGCGAAAGCCGGAUUAAUACCGCAUACGAUCCACGGAUGAAAGCGGGGGACCUUCGGGCCUCGCGCUAUAGGGUUGGCCGAUGGCUGAUUAGCUAGUUGGUGGGGUAAAGGCCUACCAAGGCGACGAUCAGUAGCUGGUCUGAGAGGACGACCAGCCACACUGGGCCUGAGACACGGCCCAGACUCCUACGGGAGGCAGCAGUGGGGAAUUUUGGACAAUGGGCGAAAGCCUGAUCCAGCAAUGCCGCGUGUGUGAAGAAGGCCUUCGGGUUGUAAAGCACUUUUGUCCGGAAAGAAAUCCUUGACUCUAAUACAGUCGGGGGAUGACGGUACCGGAAGAAUAAGCACCGGCUAACUACGU
Molecule: ribosomal RNA, 485 nt
Filed under: uncultured bacterium
Lineage: Bacteria
Description: partial 16S ribosomal RNA
Rfam family: Bacterial small subunit ribosomal RNA
Source: RNAcentral